RNAcentral lists this ribosomal RNA (853 nucleotides) under uncultured bacterium. RNAcentral describes it as "bacterial SSU rRNA". It matches the Rfam family "Bacterial small subunit ribosomal RNA", at positions 1 to 834 of the family's 1533-position model. The record is from RNAcentral.
CCGUUCUUAGAGUUUGAUCCUGGCUCAGGACGAACGCUGGCGGCGUGCUUGAUACAUGCAAGUCAAGGAGAACAUUAUCUUCGGAUAAUAAGUAAACUGGCGAACGGGUGAGUAACGCGUAAACAACUUGCCUCAGAGAUUGGGACAACAUUGGGAAACCAGUGCUAAUACCAAAUAAUGCAGCGGGCUCUUCGGAGCACAGUUGUUAAAGUAGGCUUCGGCUUACACUUUGAGAUAGGUUUGCGUCCGAUUAGUUAGUUGGUAGGGUAAUUGCCUACCAAGACCAAGAUCGGUAGCUGGUCUGAGAGGAUGAUCAGCCACACUGGAAUUGAGAUACGGUCCAGACUCCUACGGGAGGCAGCAGUAAGGAAUUUUGCACAAUGGGCGAAAGCCUGAUGCAGCAACGCCGCGUGAACGAUGAAGUUUUUAGGAAUGUAAAGUUCUGUCGUAUGGGAAGAGAUCUUUCGGAUGUUAAUACCAUUCGUUAAUGACGGUACCAUACAAGAAAGCACCGGCUAACUUCGUGCCAGCAGCCGCGGUAAUACGAGGGGUGCUAGCGUUGUCCGGAUUUACUGGGCGUAAAGGGUACGUAGGCGUUUUAAUAAGUUGUAUGUUAAAUAUCUUAGCUUAACUAAGAAAGUGCAUCCAAAACUGUUAAAAUAGAGUUUGAGAGAGGAACGCAGAAUUCAUGGUGGAGCGGUGACAUGCGUAGAUAUCAUGAGGAAAGUCAAAUGCGAAGGCAGCCUUCUGGCUCAAAACUGACGCUGAGGUACGAAAGCGUGGGGAGCGAACAGGAUUAGAUACCCUGGUAGUCCACGCCGUAAACGAUGAGUAUUUGGUGCUGGGGGAUUCG